CCUGCUUACAGUACGUUCUCAGUCGGCUCCUGGGGUUAAUGAACAAAUGAUUGAACCUGCCUCCUCCCCGCAAAGAUCCACCUGCCAGGAGGCAACGCCUGUGUGCUGGCGUUUCCAGGCCCCUGCCCGAGUCAGCCACCACGUGGAACACAGUCUCAUGGAAAUGCGUGUCCAAGGCCAGACUCCCACCUUCUCCAUAGACCUCUCCUGGGACCUGCCCUGGCUGCUGUUCAUAUGAUGGAUUACCUUAACUGAUUUUCAAAUGUUGAACCAGCCUUGCAUACUUGGAAUAAAUCCUUCUUAGUCAUGGUGUGUAAUUUAUUUUGGUACAUUGUUGGAUUCUGUUGGCGAGCAUUUUGAGUAUUUUUGCAUCUGUAUUCAUGAGAGAUAUUGGUCUGUAGUUUUCCUUUCUUGAAAUGUCUUUCACUGGUUUUAGUAUUAGGGUAAUGCUGAC
This is a long non-coding RNA of Camelus dromedarius (Arabian camel), 454 nucleotides long. RefSeq lists it as uncharacterized. The transcript has 3 exons. Lineage: Eukaryota; Metazoa; Chordata; Mammalia; Artiodactyla; Camelidae. The record is from RefSeq and is a predicted model, not a curated record.